UCUGGAAUCGAGUUUUGGGCCGAGACUUAAUAUUUUCCGUGAGGUCGAAUUUUGGGCUUCACCCAUUACAUUACAUAGUAGGUUUUUUUUUUUUUUUAUUUAUUUAUUUAUUGGGCCAAUGUUUCUUAUUUUGUGGGUGUGAAGAUACCAAAACAAUCAUCUUCAUUAUCAUCUCCCAUGUCUAUUGAGUUUUCGGAAGCAGCUGAUGAGGAAACUUUUGACGAGUCGGUCUUGCUUUUCAAAAGCUGGGCCAUAAUUUCAAAGUAUUCUUCUGCAGUUUUGGUUGCUGCCAACUGUGUUUGAGCAAAUGAUUUUUGAGCUAAGG
RNAcentral lists this long non-coding RNA (325 nucleotides) under Cicer arietinum (chickpea). Its description in RNAcentral is "long non-coding RNA (CARI_LNC000290)". The record is from RNAcentral. Lineage: Eukaryota; Viridiplantae; Streptophyta; Magnoliopsida; Fabales; Fabaceae.